This 63-nucleotide transfer RNA is filed under the name Diopatra cuprea. RNAcentral describes it as "tRNA-Glu". Lineage: Eukaryota; Metazoa; Annelida; Polychaeta; Eunicida; Onuphidae. The record is from RNAcentral.
AUGUAUAUAGUAUAAAUAUUACAAUAGACUUUCAAGCUAUAAAUGAUCUCAAUUCUAUACAUC